GAGAAUCUGCACAGCUCUGGCCAUCCUCAUUUCCAUCUUCAGACAUAGAGGUCAAGCUGGGAGGAUGGCUUGUGUUUUGGCAUGAAAAGCCAUCGGCAGUGUACUGAACAACAGACUUCGGGGAGUUUCUUUGGUGAUUGCCAUUUUGGAGUUGUGCCUCUAAAUUUUGAAGUUUACUAGCUGUCUUGGCACACAUACUCCUGGAAGUCUGCAACUCACUAUUACGCUUUGCCAAAGCCUCUUUGAGCAUCUUUGUUUCCUCCUCCAUCGCUAACAUUCGUUCUGUGAGGAACUCAUUCUCCUUUUG
RNAcentral lists this unclassified non-coding RNA (307 nucleotides) under Hevea brasiliensis (rubber tree). Lineage: Eukaryota; Viridiplantae; Streptophyta; Magnoliopsida; Malpighiales; Euphorbiaceae. The record is from RNAcentral.